Long non-coding RNA from Mytilus trossulus (common blue mussel), 411 nucleotides. RefSeq lists it as uncharacterized. The transcript is spliced from 4 exons. The record is from RefSeq and is a predicted model, not a curated record. Lineage: Eukaryota; Metazoa; Mollusca; Bivalvia; Mytilida; Mytilidae.
GAAUUGUCCUGGUGGAAUGAGGAAAAGAAAUAGUGAUACAAUAUCGAAUUUCCGAGACACAGACACAGCAUCUAUAACAGAAGUAUACCUACAAAAUAAACAGUUAUCUUUAGGGUCUUUAUAUAACCUAAUAAAUGAUUAUUUAGAUGUAAAAGGACAACGGUCUACAAAUACAUAUGAGGAUAUUCUUUAUGAUCAAGAUUACAAUUAUGAUGGCAAUUGAGGAUAUGGAAAAAUGGCGCUUGAGUAAAUGGUGUUCAGAAGAUGAAAAAUUGGUUUAUUCAUGAAAUUAAUUAAACAAUUAGACUCCAUGAACUUCUUUCAUUAUUGUACAAUAAAUCUUUAACACUAUAACUACGACUGUAAUACAGUUGUUGUAAACAAUAAAUAAUAUGAAAUAUCUUGUUAUAA